Molecule: ribosomal RNA, 253 nt
Filed under: uncultured bacterium
Lineage: Bacteria
Description: partial 16S ribosomal RNA
Rfam family: Bacterial small subunit ribosomal RNA
Source: RNAcentral
UACGAAGGGGGCUAGCGUUGUUCGGAAUCACUGGGCGUAAAGGGCGCGUAGGCGGCCGUUCAAGUCGGGGGUGAAAGCCUGUGGCUCAACCACAGAAUUGCCUUCGAUACUGUACGGCUCGAGACCGGAAGAGGUAAGUGGAACUGCGAGUGUAGAGGUGAAAUUCGUAGAUAUUCGCAAGAACACCAGUGGCGAAGGCGGCUUACUGGUCCGGUUCUGACGCUGAGGCGCGAAAGCGUGGGGAGCGAACAGG